RNAcentral lists this ribosomal RNA (388 nucleotides) under uncultured bacterium. Its description in RNAcentral is "bacterial SSU rRNA". It matches the Rfam family "Bacterial small subunit ribosomal RNA", at positions 28 to 409 of the family's 1533-position model. The record is from RNAcentral.
GACGAACGCUGGCGGUGUGCUUAACACAUGCAAGUGGAGCGACGAACCAGAGCUUGCUCUGGGGCAGAGCCGCGAACGGGUGAGUAACACGUGGGUAACGUACCCCGAUUACCGGGACAACCCGAGGAAACUCGGGCUAAUACCGGAUGUGCUCCCUCCCCAUGAGGGGAGUGAGUAAAGGAAGCUUCGGCCUCCGAAUCGGGAGCGGCCCGCGGCCUAUUAGUUUGUUGGUGGGGUAACGGCCUACCAAGACUGCGAUAGGUAGCUGGUCUGAGAGGACGAUCAGCCACACUGGGACUGAGACACGGCCCAGACUCCUACGGGAGGCAGCAGUGGGGAAUCUUGCGCAAUGCGCGAAAGCGUGACGCAGCAACACCGCGUGGGGGAA